RNAcentral lists this transfer RNA (77 nucleotides) under Chloroflexi bacterium HGW-Chloroflexi-10. RNAcentral describes it as "tRNA-Val". It matches the Rfam family "tRNA". Rfam says of the family: Transfer RNA (tRNA) molecules are approximately 80 nucleotides in length. Their secondary structure includes four short double-helical elements and three loops (D, anti-codon, and T loops). Lineage: Bacteria; Bacillati; Chloroflexota. The record is from RNAcentral.
GGGCGGUUAGCUCAGUUGGUUAGAGCAUCGCGUUGACAUCGCGAAGGUCGUAGGUUCGAGCCCUAUACCGCCCACCU